AAGAGUGAAAUUACAACCUAAAGGACCUAUCGUACCUUCUUUUGGAGUAACCUUAGUGCUAGUGAGAGCCUUGCCUACUUUUUAAGGCUAAGAAGACUCAUUUUCUGCAGGUAAACCAAAAGCUUUCAGUUCUAGAGAGCUGAGGGACAGAACAAGCAUUUGGUCGAUGCUGUACCAUCACAUAGCCAAAAGGACUUCCAAGAUACUUGAAGAGAAAUCUCAUAUCUUGACAACAUCCUUAUGCUUCCUAGAGCUGGAUCUUGUGAUCUAUCGCGUGGUUCCUGGUCAAGGACUCUCCAAACUAUGGCUGCAACAUUAUCCUAUUAAGGCAAGAGUCUGGGAAGCUGGAGGGACUGGAAUCAAAUUUUCCAUUUAGAUUAUCAGUUUUCAA
Molecule: long non-coding RNA, 391 nt
Organism: Vidua chalybeata
Lineage: Eukaryota; Metazoa; Chordata; Aves; Passeriformes; Viduidae
Exons: 3
Source: RefSeq, a predicted model, not a curated record